Molecule: long non-coding RNA, 2229 nt
Organism: Amphiprion ocellaris (clown anemonefish)
Lineage: Eukaryota; Metazoa; Chordata; Actinopteri; Pomacentridae
Source: Ensembl
CACGCGCACACACACACACACACACACACACACACACACACACACACACACACACACACACACACAGACAGUGAGGGGAAAAGAGAGAGAGAGAGAGAGUCUAAGCUGUGAGGUGAAUCGUGCUGCGCGCCUCCCCAAAUGCGUAAAGUCCCCCUGAUUUGGCGGGCUCUUUCUGUCAGCAGCCUCACAUUUGUAAAUCUCCCCCCUCCUCUCCAGCCACCACCGCCACCUUUCCACUCCUAAACCCUUCACCCCUCCCAACACCACCCAACCAACCCACCUUCCUUUUGAGCCGGCUCCCUGAAUCCUGAAUGGCAACACCAAAUAUUUUACUCUCCGACAGAACAGAGAGACGACGCACAUCGGACUGACCUGCUUUCUCCAUCCUGACGCAGGCGGAGAGACUGUAGGCUGCCCUGCUUUGCUCUGUCUCUAUCUGUCUCAGCCUGCACAAAUCCUUUCUUUAAAAAGAGUUUUUAAAAAAGAGAAAAAAAAAUCAAAAUCAAAAAGUUUAGAACAAGGACGUGCCUGCGCUACGGAGAGAACGAUGACAACCAAAACAACGAGGGGUAAAAAAAAAAAAAGAAAAGAAAGAGGUGACUUGUGGCCGGAGUGGACGCUGCUGACGCCGCCGGAGCCUCCACCUGUGCGCCGGAGAGAAAAAGGUGACCCACGUUUUGGAUGUUUUGCACCGAGGAGCGACUGAGAGACACCGACCUUCCUGCCUCCCUCCCUCUCCCCCCGUCCUCCCAUGCUCUUCUUCAUCCCGAGAACAGGUGAUUUCAGUCCCGCUGCCCUGAACUGACAGCAACGCUCCGUGGUCUGUGGACCAGAGUCUGUUUCUGCCACGUCAAGAGCAAAACGAUGUUCACAGAAGAAAGAAAAUGGAAACCACUGCAGCCAGCGAAGCAGAAGAAGGUAGAAAGGAACAAUGAGGGCCCAGAAGGGAGGGAGGAGGCAGCUGGAUGGGCAGCGAGUGAACUCAAAGCGGCCGACACCUUUGUUUCCAUUAGCACCACCCAAAAACCAUGAAAGUCAAGCCGGUUGGAGUGGGACACAUCCAUCCUCCACCCGCCUGCACUCAGAAGAGAGUCGUCUAACUCCAGGCUGGGAAGGAUAAAUAUGUAAACACUUGUGACAGCAGCAGACACCAUGGAAGGCAGCUCUCCACAUGCAGCACAAUCUCCUCAGCUGGAAUUAAAACACACAUAACAGAUCGCUGCUGCUGUGAGUCUGAUGUCGCCGUCGGGUGAAGCAGAACUGCAGCUGUUGGGCUGCGAGGAAACGACCGAGACGUGAAGGUGGACUCUCAAAACGUCCGAUGGGAGUGUGUGUGUGUGUGUGUGUGUGUGUGUGUGUGUGUGUGUGUGUGUGUGUGUGUGUGUGUGUGUGUGUGUGUGUGUGUGUGUGUGUGUGUGUGUGUGUGUGUGUGUGUGUGUGUAUGUGUGUAUGUGUCUAAUUUGAUGAUAUUAUAUCAUAUCUGUUAAAAAAAAUUAGAAAAUGUAAGCUACUUCUGUCUCUCCUAACACUGAUGUAAUGCUGCUGGCUGUUCUACAUGUUCUAUACUUGUUUUCAUGUGAACGUUGUUUGUAAAUUUCUGUUUUCAAAAUCUGAGUCCAUGUCAGAGUCUGUCAAUAUUUAUUGAGCUGGCUGAUGUUGGCUGUGCAGUGAUGCCAGGCUACAAACAAGUGCUAUAAAAUAGAUUAUAUAUUAUAUUAGUAAACUGCAUUUUACUCUACACUUUGUAACGUGACUCGGAGACAGCUGGUCGCUAAUACAUUUAAUUUCAUCCCUUUUAAAAGUGUUACACAACUUGCUGCUCCUUCUUCUCGGUGUCACGUUGACUUCGACCCUCCACUUCUGUCAAAGAAUGCGAGCAGCUGCAUGAUGCAUGUCAACAUGUGGACACAUUUUUAUACUCUUGUCCCUCUGCUGAGUACAUGACAGGCUUUGCUUCGUGCCACAGAGCCUCGGUUUGUCAGAAUUUCAUGUUUAGUUUGUGUGUGAGAGACAGACGGGGAGCAUGGCGGCAGAUGGGGUGUGCUGGAGACUAAAAAUGCUGUUGCAAAUAGCCUCUGUGGGUCGGAGAGGGGGAACAGAGAGCACAUACUGCUGAGGAGAGAAUCGUGACAGUCGGUUGUGGUGAAACAUCCGACGAAUGUGAGCAGGAUUUCGUCGUUCGUGUGCAUUUUAAUGUGAAGUUUAAUGAAAUAAAGCGAUGUAAAUUCA